RNAcentral lists this transfer RNA (123 nucleotides) under Harpegnathos saltator (Jerdon's jumping ant). It matches the Rfam family "tRNA". From Rfam's summary of the family: Transfer RNA (tRNA) molecules are approximately 80 nucleotides in length. Their secondary structure includes four short double-helical elements and three loops (D, anti-codon, and T loops). Lineage: Eukaryota; Metazoa; Arthropoda; Insecta; Hymenoptera; Formicidae. The record is from Rfam by way of RNAcentral.
GUCAGAAUGGCCGAGCGGUCUAAGGCGCCAGACUCAAGGUAUAUUACUUUCUCGGUUCAAGACCGAGUUUUCCGGGCCUUCUGGUCCUCUCUGAGGGCGUGGGUUCGAAUCCCACUUCUGACA